UACGUAGGGUGCGAGCGUUGUCCGGAAUUACUGGGCGUAAAGAGCUCGUAGGCGGUCUGUCACGUCGGCUGUGAAAACCCGAGGCUCAACCUCGGGCCUGCAGUCGAUACGGGCAAACUAGAGUACUGCAGGGGAGACUGGAAUUCCUGGUGUAGCGGUGAAAUGCGUAGAUAUCGAGAGGAACACCUGCGGCGAAGGCGGGUUGCUGGGCCGACACUGACGCUGAUGCGCGAAAGCCAGGGGAGCGAACGGG
Molecule: ribosomal RNA, 253 nt
Filed under: uncultured bacterium
Lineage: Bacteria
Description: partial 16S ribosomal RNA
Rfam family: Bacterial small subunit ribosomal RNA
Source: RNAcentral